This 251-nucleotide long non-coding RNA is filed under the name Lathyrus oleraceus (garden pea). RNAcentral's name for it is "Pisum sativum (pea) long non-coding RNA (PSAT_LNC037344)". The record is from RNAcentral. Lineage: Eukaryota; Viridiplantae; Streptophyta; Magnoliopsida; Fabales; Fabaceae.
CUCUUCAAAAGAAGAAAAAAAUGUAAGUCAUUCUAAAUAUGAUCAUGUUGAUUAAAUGUCUUAUUUUGACUUGCAAAAAGCCUUUAGUACUCUACACAAUGAGGCCAAGGAAGCUUUUAAACGCUUAGCCUCAAAUAAGAAUUUUUUUGUUAUUUAGAAAAGAAGGUUUCUGAUUCCGAAAAGGAAUUAGAAACUCUUAAGAAAUCUAUGAUAGAGGCUACUAAAGGCAAAGCUGAAAAUGAUAAGGGAUU